CGUGUAGGCGGAGCUGCAAGUCAGAUGUGAAAUCUAGGGGCUCAACCCCUAAACUGCAUUUGAAACUGUAGCCCUUGAGUAUCGGAGAGGCAAGCGGAAUUCCUAGUGUAGCGGUGAGAUGCGUAGAUAUUAGGAGGAACACCAGUGGCGAAGGCGGCUUGCUGGACGACAACUGACGCUGAGGCGCGAAGCGUGGGAGCAAACA
This 205-nucleotide ribosomal RNA is filed under the name uncultured bacterium. Its description in RNAcentral is "partial 16S ribosomal RNA". It matches the Rfam family "Bacterial small subunit ribosomal RNA", at positions 568 to 774 of the family's 1533-position model. The record is from RNAcentral.